Molecule: ribosomal RNA, 551 nt
Filed under: uncultured fungus
Lineage: Eukaryota; Fungi
Description: eukaryotic LSU rRNA
Rfam family: 5.8S ribosomal RNA (bases 187-340)
Source: RNAcentral
AAGUCGUAACAAGGUCUCCGUUGGUGAACCAGCAGGAGGGAUCAUUACUGAGUACUACACUCUCUACCCUUUGUGAACUAUUAUACCUGUUGCUUCGGCGGCGCCCGCAAGGGUGCCCGCCGGUCUCAUCAGAAUCUCUGUUUUCGAACCCGACGAUACUUCUGAGUGUUCUUAGCGAACUGUCAAAACUUUUAACAACGGAUCUCUUGGCUCCAGCAUCGAUGAAGAACGCAGCGAAACGCGAUAUGUAAUGUGAAUUGCAGAAUUCAGUGAAUCAUCGAAUCUUUGAACGCACAUGGCGCCUUCCAGUAUCCUGGGAGGCAUGCCUGUCCGAGCGUCGUUUCAACCCUCGAGCCCCUGUGGCCCGGCGUUGGGGAUCUGCCACGGCAGGCCCCUAAAACCAGUGGCGGACCCGAAGGGCCCUCUCCUUUGCGCAGUAGCAUUCGCCUCGCAUCGGGAGUCCUCGGCGUCCUGCCUCUAAACCCCCACAAGCCCGCUUCGGCGGCACCAAGGUUGACCUCGGAUCAGGUAGGAAUACCCGCUGAACUUAA